UUUUUAUCAUGUGUGCAUAAAAUUGGUGCAA
This 31-nucleotide non-coding RNA is filed under the name Rattus norvegicus (Norway rat). Lineage: Eukaryota; Metazoa; Chordata; Mammalia; Rodentia; Muridae. The record is from RNAcentral.